CAAAGGAGCACAAUUCGUGCCCAUGGGAAUUCCAACAGACUGUUGGAAGACCUGAUCACCAAAUACCACGAAGAUAUUGUCAAUGAGGAACUCUAGCAUAUUUUUUAUUUCAACUUCAGAGUACUUAUGCGUGGAAUCAGAGUGGUGUUUAACAAAUAGAUCAUCUGAACUUUGGUGGAUCUUGUGAAGCACGGUUCCUGUCGGUGAGCGGAUUGCAGUAUACUUAUGUUGAAUGUGACCUCCAUGCUCUCUCUCCACUGCUUCAUAUGACCACGCGUCAUCAUCCGAUUUCUUCCAGAUUGGACAUUAUUUAAAGGAGAUCAUGUGGUCCCAUUGGCAGUUUUUGCAGUUCAUUGUGACAACUUUUUCCAUCACACCCUCCUCACCACACCGGAAGCAGGCUCCGGGGCCUUCACAAUGUUUGGAUAUGACCAAAUCACUGACAUUUAAAGCAACGCAGCAGAAUUUGUACAAACAUUUCUAUUUUCAUUUGAUAAAACCUAUGUAACUCUGA
This is a long non-coding RNA of Ostrea edulis (European flat oyster), 514 nucleotides long. RefSeq lists it as uncharacterized. Lineage: Eukaryota; Metazoa; Mollusca; Bivalvia; Ostreida; Ostreidae. The transcript is spliced from 3 exons. The record is from RefSeq and is a predicted model, not a curated record.